AGUCAUAUGCUUGUCUCAAAGAUUAAGCCAUGCAUGUCUAAGUAUAAACAACUUUGUACUGUGAAACUGCGAACGGCUCAUUAUAUCAGCAAUUAUUUAUUUGAUGGUGUCUUACUACAUGGAUAACCGUAGUAAUUCUAGAGCUAAUACAUGCGUAAAGACCCGACUCUUGCGGGAAGGGUUGUAUUUAUUAGAUUAAAAGCCAAUGCGGGCUCUGCCCGGUUUCAUGGUGAGUCAUAGUAACUUUUCGGAUCGCACGGCUUCACGCCGGCGACGGUUCAUUCAAAUUUCUGCCCUAUCAGCUUUCGACGGUAGUGUAGUGGACUACCGUGGCAUUUAC
Molecule: ribosomal RNA, 340 nt
Filed under: uncultured eukaryote
Lineage: Eukaryota
Description: SSU rRNA
Rfam family: Eukaryotic small subunit ribosomal RNA
Source: RNAcentral